AGUGAACGCUGGCGGCAGGCCUAACACAUGCAAGUCGAACGGCAGCACAAGAGAGCUUGCUCUCUGGGUGGCGAGUGGCGGACGGGUGAGGAAUGCAUCGGAAUCUGCCCAUUUGUGGGGGAUAACCUCGGGAAACCGGGACUAAUACCGCAUACGACCUACGGGUGAAAGCAGGGGAUCUUCGGACCUUGCGCAGAUGGAUGAGCCGAUGCCGGAUUGGCUAGUUGGAGGGGUAAAGGCCCACCAAGGCGACGAUCCGUAGCUGGUCUGAGAGGAUGAUCAGCCACACUGGGACUGAGACACGGCCCAGACUCCUACGGGAGGCAGCAGUGGGGAAUAUUGGACAAUGGGCGCAAGCCUGAUCCAGCCAUGCCGCGUGUGUGAAGAAGGCCUUCGGGUUGUAAAGCACUUUUGUUGGGAAAGAAAAGCAGCCGGUUAAUACCCGGUUGUCAUGACGGUACCCAAAGAAUAAGCACCGGCUAACUUCGUG
This 490-nucleotide ribosomal RNA is filed under the name uncultured bacterium. RNAcentral's name for it is "partial 16S ribosomal RNA". It matches the Rfam family "Bacterial small subunit ribosomal RNA", at positions 29 to 507 of the family's 1533-position model. The record is from RNAcentral.